AGUGAACGCUGGCGGUAGGCCUAACACAUGCAAGUCGAACGGCAGCACAGGAGAGCUUGCUCUCUGGGUGGCGAGUGGCGGACGGGUGAGGAAUACAUCGGAAUCUACUCUGUCGUGGGGGAUAACGUAGGGAAACUUACGCUAAUACCGCAUACGACCUACGGGUGAAAGCAGGGGACCUUCGGGCCUUGCGCGAUUGAAUGAGCCGAUGUCGGAUUAGCUAGUUGGCGGGGUAAAGGCCCACCAAGGCGACGAUCCGUAGCUGGUCUGAGAGUAUGAUCAGCCACACUGGAACUGAGACACGGUCCAGACUCCUACGGGAGGCAGCAGUGGGGAAUAUUGGACAAUGGGCGCAAGCCUGAUCCAGCCAUACCGCGUGGGUGAAGAAGGCCUUCGGGUUGUAAAGCCCUUUUGUUGGGAAAGAAAUCCAGCUGGCUAAUACCCGGUUGGGAUGACGGUACCCAAAGAACAAGCACCGGCUAACUUCGUGCCAGCAGCCGCGGUAA
This 506-nucleotide ribosomal RNA is filed under the name uncultured bacterium. Its description in RNAcentral is "partial 16S ribosomal RNA". It matches the Rfam family "Bacterial small subunit ribosomal RNA", at positions 29 to 523 of the family's 1533-position model. The record is from RNAcentral.